UACGUAGGUGGCAAGCGUUGUCCGGAAUUAUUAGGCGUAAAGCGCGCGCAGGCGGCCUCUUAAGUCGGAUGUGAAAGCCCCCGGCUCAACCGGGGAGUGCCAUUGGAAACUGGUAGGCUUGAGUAUAGGAGAGAAGAGUGGAAUUCCACGUGUAGCGGUGAAAUGCGUAGAGAUGUGGUGGAACACCAGUGGCGAAGGCGACUCGUUGGCCUAUAACUGACGCUGAGGCGCGAGAGCGUGGGGAGCAAAAAGG
RNAcentral lists this unclassified non-coding RNA (253 nucleotides) under uncultured Caryophanales bacterium. RNAcentral's name for it is "uncultured Bacillales bacterium contains 16S-23S intergenic spacer region". It matches the Rfam family "Bacterial small subunit ribosomal RNA", at positions 524 to 776 of the family's 1533-position model. The record is from RNAcentral. Lineage: Bacteria; Bacillati; Bacillota; Bacilli; Caryophanales.